RNAcentral lists this ribosomal RNA (1369 nucleotides) under uncultured bacterium. RNAcentral's name for it is "bacterial SSU rRNA". It matches the Rfam family "Bacterial small subunit ribosomal RNA". The record is from RNAcentral.
AGAGUUUGAUCCUGGCUCAGGAUGAACGCUGGCGGCGCGCCUAACACAUGCAAGUCGAACGGCACCUGCCCUCGGGCAGAAGCGAGUGGCGAACGGCUGAGUAACACGUGGAGAACCUGCCCCCUCCCCCGGGAUAGCCGCCCGAAAGGACGGGUAAUACCGGAUACCCCGGGGUGCCGCAUGGCACCCCGGCUAAAGCCCCGACGGGAGGGGAUGGCUCCGCGGCCCAUCAGGUAGACGGCGGGGUGACGGCCCACCGUGCCGACAACGGGUAGCCGGGUUGAGAGACCGACCGGCCAGAUUGGGACUGAGACACGGCCCAGACUCCUACGGGAGGCAGCAGUGGGGAAUCUUGCGCAAUGGGGGGAACCCUGACGCAGCAACGCCGCGUGCGGGACGGAGGCCUUCGGGUCGUAAACCGCUUUCAGCAGGGAAGAGUCAAGACUGUUACCUGCUGAAGAAGCCCCGGGCUAACUACUUGCCACUAGCCCUCGUGUAUAUGUUAUGGGGCGAGCGUUAUCCUGAUUCAUUGGGUGUAAAGCGCGCGUAGGCGGCCCCGCAGCCCGGGGGUCGAAACGGGGGGCUCAACCCCCCGAAGCCCCCGGAACCUCCGCGGCUUGGGUCCGGUAGGGGAGGGUGGAACACCCGGUGUAGCGGUGGAAUGCGCAGAUAUCGGGUGGAACACCGGUGGCGAAGGCGGCCCUCUGGGCCGAGACCGACGCUGAGGCGCGAAAGCUGGGGGAGCGAACAGGAUUAGAUACCCUGGUAGUCCCAGCCGUAAACGAUGGACGCUAGGUGUGGGGGGACGAUCCCCCCGUGCCGCAGCCAACGCAUUAAGCGUCCCGCCUGGGGAGUACGGCCGCAAGGCUAAAACUCAAAGGAAUUGACGGGGGCCCGCGCAAGCAGCGGAGCAUGUGGCUUAAUUCGAAGCAACGCGAAGAACCUUACCAGGGCUUGACAUAUGGGUGAAGCGGGGGAGACCCCGUGGCCGAGAGGAGCCCAUACAGGUGGUGCAUGGCUGUCGUCAGCUCGUGUCGUGAGAUGUUGGGUUAAGUCCCGCAACGAGCGCAACCCCCGCCGCGUGUUGCCAUCGGGUGAUGCCGGGAACCCACGCGGGACCGCCGCCGUCAAGGCGGAGGAGGGCGGGGACGACGUCAAGUCAUCAUGCCCCUUAUGCCCUGGGCUGCACACGUGCUACAAUGGCCGGUACAGAGGGAUGCCACCCCGCGAGGGGGAGCGGAUCCCGGAAAGCCGGCCCCAGUUCGGAUUGGGGGCUGCAACCCGCCCCCAUGAAGUCGGAGUUGCUAGUAAUCGCGGAUCAGCAUGCCGCGGUGAAUGCGUUCCCGGGCCUUGUACACACCGCCCGUCA